UACGUAGGGUGCAAGCGUUGUCCGGAAUUCUGGGGCGUAAAGAGCUUGUAGGCGGUUUGUCGCGUCUGCUGUGAAAUUUCGGGGCUCAACCCCGAACUUGCAGUGGGUACGGGCAGACUAGAGUGUGGUAGGGGAGACUGGAAUUCCUGGUGUAGCGGUGAAAUGCGCAGAUAUCAGGAGGAACACCGAUGGCGAAGGCAGGUCUCUGGGCCAUAACUGACGCUGAGAAGCGAAAGCAUGGGGAGCGAACAGG
Molecule: ribosomal RNA, 253 nt
Filed under: uncultured bacterium
Lineage: Bacteria
Description: partial 16S ribosomal RNA
Rfam family: Bacterial small subunit ribosomal RNA
Source: RNAcentral